Molecule: ribosomal RNA, 495 nt
Filed under: uncultured bacterium
Lineage: Bacteria
Description: partial 16S ribosomal RNA
Rfam family: Bacterial small subunit ribosomal RNA
Source: RNAcentral
UGAACGCUGGCGGCGUGCCUAAUACAUGCAAGUCGAGCGAACAGACGAGGAGCUUGCUCCUCUGACGUUAGCGGCGGACGGGUGAGUAACACGUGGAUAACCUACCUAUAAGACUGGGAUAACUUCGGGAAACCGGAGCUAAUACCGGAUAAUAUAUUGAACCGCAUGGUUCAAUAGUGAAAGACGGUUUUGCUGUCACUUAUAGAUGGAUCCGCGCCGCAUUAGUUAGUUGGUAAGGUAACGGCUUACCAAGGCGACGAUGCGUAGCCGACCUGAGAGGGUGAUCGGCCACACUGGAACUGAGACACGGUCCAGACUCCUACGGGAGGCAGCAGUAGGGAAUCUUCCGCAAUGGGCGAAAGCCUGACGGAGCAACGCCGCGUGAGUGAUGAAGGUCUUCGGAUCGUAAAACUCUGUUAUUAGGGAAGAACAAAUGUGUAAGUAACUAUGCACGUCUUGACGGUACCUAAUCAGAAAGCCACGGCUAACUACGUG